CUCUCUCUCUCUUUGAUCCCCUCCCCUAAAACCCGACUCCGACGCUCACCCCACUCCCGCCGCAGCUCGUCGGCGUCUCCGCCGGCGUCGUCCCUCCAUCUCUCUCAGUGCAGGGGUACAAUCUAAUUAAAUAUUUCAAUAUUCGACGCCGCCAAGCCUACUGCCACCAACCCCUCCAUCUCAGCCCUAAUUGAAAAAAUUCGAGAUAUCUUAUGCAGGUCCUGGGGAAACCAGCAAUUGAACACAUUUACAGAGAGGAAAACAAAGUUGCAGACAAGCUAGUGAAGGAACUAGCUGAAGAGAACUACAUGAAUUUUGAUGUAAUUAUGUUUGAAACCCCACCAUCCUCCACGGUGGACUCCUUAGCCUUGGAUAAUUUUGAAACAUUAUUUACUAGGAAAGUUUGUUGUUGUAAUGGUCGUAUAACAGACCAGGAAGGUGGGAUUAAUCCCUCCGCUUUUGUAUUA
Long non-coding RNA from Solanum dulcamara, 467 nucleotides. RefSeq lists it as uncharacterized. Lineage: Eukaryota; Viridiplantae; Streptophyta; Magnoliopsida; Solanales; Solanaceae. The transcript has 3 exons. The record is from RefSeq and is a predicted model, not a curated record.